UAGUCAAUACUCUGGAACUGCCUGCCAC
This 28-nucleotide small RNA is filed under the name Bombyx mori (domestic silkworm). RNAcentral's name for it is "ovarian small RNA-3097". Lineage: Eukaryota; Metazoa; Arthropoda; Insecta; Lepidoptera; Bombycidae. The record is from RNAcentral.